Molecule: ribosomal RNA, 686 nt
Filed under: Bradyrhizobiaceae bacterium ZD21
Lineage: Bacteria; Pseudomonadati; Pseudomonadota; Alphaproteobacteria; Hyphomicrobiales; Nitrobacteraceae
Description: bacterial SSU rRNA
Rfam family: Bacterial small subunit ribosomal RNA
Source: RNAcentral
CAGACGGGUGAGUAACGCGUGGGAACAUACCUCUUGGUUCGGAACAACACAGGGAAACUUGUGCUAAUACCGGAUAAGCCCUUACGGGGAAAGAUUUAUCGCCGAGAGAUUGGCCCGCGUCUGAUUAGCUAGUUGGUGUGGUAAAGGCGCACCAAGGCGACGAUCAGUAGCUGGUCUGAGAGGAUGAUCAGCCACAUUGGGACUGAGACACGGCCCAAACUCCUACGGGAGGCAGCAGUGGGGAAUAUUGGACAAUGGGCGCAAGCCUGAUCCAGCCAUGCCGCGUGAGUGAUGAAGGCCUUAGGGUUGUAAAGCUCUUUUGUACGGGAAGAUAAUGACGGUACCGUAAGAAUAAGCCCCGGCUAACUUCGUGCCAGCAGCCGCGGUAAUACGAAGGGGGCUAGCGUUGCUCGGAAUCACUGGGCGUAAAGGGUGCGUAGGCGGGUUUUUAAGUCAGAGGUGAAAUCCUGGAGCUCAACUCCAGAACUGCCUUUGAUACUGAAAGUCUUGAGUAUGGGAGAGGUGAGUGGAACUGCGAGUGUAGAGGUGAAAUUCGUAGAUAUUCGCAAGAACACCAGUGGCGAAGGCGGCUCACUGGCCCAUUACUGACGCUGAGGCACGAAAGCGUGGGGAGCAAACAGGAUUAGAUACCCUGGUAGUCCACGCCGUAAACGAUGAAUGCCAGC